RNAcentral lists this ribosomal RNA (492 nucleotides) under uncultured bacterium. Its description in RNAcentral is "partial 16S ribosomal RNA". It matches the Rfam family "Bacterial small subunit ribosomal RNA", at positions 29 to 507 of the family's 1533-position model. The record is from RNAcentral.
AGUGAACGCUGGCGGUAGGCCUAACACGUGCAAGUCGAACGGCAGCACAGUAAGAGCUUGCUCUUACGGGUGGCGAGUGGCGGACGGGUGAGGAAUACAUCGGAAUCUACUUUUUCGUGGGGGAUAACGUAGGGAAACUUACGCUAAUACCGCAUACGACCUACGGGUGAAAGCAGGGGAUCUUCGGACCUUGCGCGAUUGAAUGAGCCGAUGUCGGAUUAGCUAGUUGGCGGGGUAAAGGCCCACCAAGGCGACGAUCCGUAGCUGGUCUGAGAGGAUGAUCAGCCACACUAGAACUGAGACACGGUCCAGACUCCUACGGGAGGCAGCAGUGGGGAAUAUUGGACAAUGGGCGCAAGCCUGAUCCAGCCAUACCGCGUGGGUGAAGAAGGCCUUCGGGUUGUAAAGCCCUUUUGGUGGGAAAGAAAAGCAGCAGGUUAAUACCCCGCUGUUCUGACGGUACCCAAAGAAUAAGCACCGGCUAACUUCGUG